RNAcentral lists this long non-coding RNA (289 nucleotides) under Ananas comosus (pineapple). RNAcentral's name for it is "long non-coding RNA (ACOM_LNC033283)". Lineage: Eukaryota; Viridiplantae; Streptophyta; Magnoliopsida; Poales; Bromeliaceae. The record is from RNAcentral.
UUACGUUGGCGGCCGACAACGUAACAUCGGGAGUUAGUAGUGAAGGACACUUCCUUACUUUCGGAUGAUUUGGGUUUUAUCUAUUUGAGCGGGGAUGCGAUAGCGUGGGUUACUAACUUGCGCUUUUAUGUUUUGUAGUGACGAUGCCGAUUACACGCUCCCAGUCUGCCGGGGCGGAUGAUGCGGCACACCCCGAGGAGGUCGAGACCUCCGCUACUUUCGGAUCUAGUGAGGUCCGUGACUUGAGGACCCAGCUUGCGGUCCUCACUGAUCUGUUGGCGCAGCAGAC